Molecule: ribosomal RNA, 465 nt
Filed under: uncultured bacterium
Lineage: Bacteria
Description: partial 16S ribosomal RNA
Rfam family: Bacterial small subunit ribosomal RNA
Source: RNAcentral
CCUACGGGAGGCAGCAGUAGGGAAUUUUCCACAAUGGACGAAAGUCUGAUGGAGCAACGCCGCGCGAGUGAAGAAGGGUUUCGGCUCGUAAAGCUCUGUUGGUAGGGAAGAAAGAUAGGGAUAGGAACUGGCCUUUGUUUGCCGGUAAUUACUUAGAAAGUCACGGCUAACUACGUGCCAGCAGCCGCGGUAAUACGUAGGUGGCAAGCGUUGUCCGGAUUUAUUGGGCGUAAAGCGAGUGAAGGCGGGUCAAUAAGUCUGAUGUGAAAGCCUUCGGCUCAACCGGAGAAUUGCAUCAGAAACUGUUGAACUUGAGUGCAGAAGAGGAGAGUGGAACUCGAGGUGUAGCGGUGGAAUGCGUAGAUAUAUGGAAGAACACCAGUGGCGAAGGCAGCUCUCUGGUCUGCAACUGACGCUGAGGCUCGAAAGCAUGGGUAGCGAACAGGAUUAGAUACCCGAGUAGUC